GUGAGACUGAUCUCUUGUGGCACGACCUGAGCGGGUUGUUUUCUCCACUGCCAGUCAAAAUCAGCAAUAAAACAUGAAGCUCAUAUCAUCAUAACAUUUUUGUUGUUGUGGACACACAAAACAAGCUAAGAAGUCUGUUGUGGAAUCAACAGAGCAUUGCCAGAAUUUAGAUUUACAUCUGAAGUAAACAAGAGCUCUGAGGAAAGAAGUCGCAUCUGUAUUUACACAAGAAUCACAAUAACAGGAAACAAUGUAUCAGCUCAA
Cyprinus carpio (common carp) is the source of this 264-nucleotide long non-coding RNA. RefSeq lists it as uncharacterized. The record is from RefSeq and is a predicted model, not a curated record. NCBI's taxonomy places the organism in Eukaryota, Metazoa, Chordata, Actinopteri, Cypriniformes, Cyprinidae.